AGCUUUGCGCAGUGGCAGUAUUGUAGCCAAUGAGGUUUAUCCGAGGCAUGAUUAUUGCUAACUGAAAACUUUCCCAAUACCCCGCCAUGACGACUUACAAUAUAGUUGGCAUUGGCAAUUUUUGAUAGUCUCUACAGAGA
RNAcentral lists this small nuclear RNA (140 nucleotides) under Callithrix jacchus (white-tufted-ear marmoset). RNAcentral describes it as "U4 spliceosomal RNA (ENSCJAG00000087241.1)". It matches the Rfam family "U4 spliceosomal RNA". From Rfam's summary of the family: U4 small nuclear RNA (U4 snRNA) is a component of the major U2-dependent spliceosome. The structure of U4 snRNA from yeast and human has been reported. The record is from Rfam by way of RNAcentral. Lineage: Eukaryota; Metazoa; Chordata; Mammalia; Primates; Cebidae.